GACGAACCGUGCGAACGUUGUUCGGAAUCACUGGGCUUAGAGGGCGCGUAGGCGGGUUUUCAAGUCUGUGGUGAAAGCCUCCAGCUUAACUGGAGAAGUGCCGUGGAUACUGGAGACCUCGAGGAGGGUAGGGGCAUCUGGAACAGCCGGUGGAGCGGUGAAAUGCGUUGAUAUCGGCUGGAACUCCGAUGGCGAAGGCAAGGUGCUGGACCCUCUCUGACGCUGAGGCGCGAAAGCCAGGGGAGCGAACGGG
This 253-nucleotide ribosomal RNA is filed under the name uncultured bacterium. RNAcentral describes it as "partial 16S ribosomal RNA". It matches the Rfam family "Bacterial small subunit ribosomal RNA", at positions 524 to 776 of the family's 1533-position model. The record is from RNAcentral.